This 136-nucleotide ribosomal RNA is filed under the name Cetobacterium ceti. RNAcentral describes it as "23S rRNA. Bacterial LSU". It matches the Rfam family "Bacterial large subunit ribosomal RNA", at positions 2775 to 2925 of the family's 2925-position model. The record is from RNAcentral. Lineage: Bacteria; Fusobacteriati; Fusobacteriota; Fusobacteriia; Fusobacteriales; Fusobacteriaceae.
AAGCAUCUAAGCGGGAAACUGACUUCAAGAUAAGUAUUCUUUUAGACAUCUUCGAGACUAGGAGAUUGAUAGGUUGGGGGUGUAAGAGUAGCAAUGCUUUUAGCUGACCAAUACUAAUAUGUCGAAGUCUUAACCU